ACGGGCGUAGCUCAAUUGGUAGAGCGCUUGUCUCCAAAACAAGAGGUUGCAGGUUCGAGACCUGCCGCCCGUG
Molecule: transfer RNA, 73 nt
Filed under: bacterium
Lineage: Bacteria
Description: tRNA-Trp
Rfam family: tRNA
About the family: Transfer RNA (tRNA) molecules are approximately 80 nucleotides in length.
Source: RNAcentral